Long non-coding RNA from Anoplopoma fimbria (sablefish), 295 nucleotides. RefSeq lists it as uncharacterized. The transcript has 3 exons. Lineage: Eukaryota; Metazoa; Chordata; Actinopteri; Perciformes; Anoplopomatidae. The record is from RefSeq and is a predicted model, not a curated record.
CCCGACUUCCAGUCAUUAUGCUAAGCUAAGCAGCUGAAGCUUCAUAUUCAGUGUACAGACAUGAGAGUGGUGUCGAUCUCAUCUAGAACGACCGCUGAUAAAUCCCUGCUGCUGUCGUCUGGGAGGAGACCAUAAGGUGAGACUGCUCGAGUGAAGGAAACUUGAGGGGUCUACUGAGAGGACCAUUGCUAAGCUUGAAAAGACCCAAAAUGCGACCUCCGGACAGGGCCUCUAUGGCUGUACCGAAGCCCAGCUCUCGACACACCACAGUGGCAGACAGCAAGCUCCAGUUGUC